GAUGAACGCUGGCGGCGUGCCUAAUACAUGCAAGUCGAGCGAACAGACGAGGAGCUUGCUCCUCUGAUGUUAGCGGCGGACGGGUGAGUAACACGUGGAUAACCUACCUAUAAGACUGGGAUAACUUCGGAAACCGGAGCUAAUACCGGAUAACAUGUUGAACCGCAUGGUUCAACAGUGAAAGACGGUCUUGCUGUCACUUAUAGAUGGAUCCGCGCCGCAUUAGCUAGUUGGUAAGGUAACGGCUUACCAAGGCAACGAUGCGUAGCCGACCUGAGAGGGUGAUCGGCCACACUGGAACUGAGACACGGUCCAGACUCCUACGGGAGGCAGCAGUAGGGAAUCUUCCGCAAUGGGCGAAAGCCUGACGGAGCAACGCCGCGUGAGUGAAGAAGGUCUUCGGAUCGUAAAACUCUGUUAUUAGGGAAGAACAAAUGUGUAAGUAACUAUGCACGUCUUGACGGUACCUAAUCAGAAAGCCACGGCUAACUACGUG
RNAcentral lists this ribosomal RNA (496 nucleotides) under uncultured bacterium. RNAcentral describes it as "partial 16S ribosomal RNA". It matches the Rfam family "Bacterial small subunit ribosomal RNA", at positions 28 to 507 of the family's 1533-position model. The record is from RNAcentral.